Molecule: long non-coding RNA, 541 nt
Organism: Gossypium arboreum
Lineage: Eukaryota; Viridiplantae; Streptophyta; Magnoliopsida; Malvales; Malvaceae
Exons: 2
Source: RefSeq, a predicted model, not a curated record
UGCCGUUUCAUUGUUUGCCCAAAAUUUAAAGGAAAUUGAAUGGCAAUUAGCCAUUCUUUCCGAACGCAAGCCAAACACCCAAUUUGUUUAGGGUUUUGACUCAACAGCCUUUAAUUUCUAAGGCUAUUUCAUCACCAGUACACCAUUAAAAUUGGUGACGGGUAUGGAAGCAGCCUUUAUUUCAUCAGAAUUAACACUCAAAGACCACUUUUACUUAUGGAUCCGCAUUUCUAACCCCAAUUUCGACGAAGAAGCCAAGAGAUCUCAUCGAUGCAUUUAGCAGAGGUACGGAGAAGAUGACCCGGGGAUCUCACGUGGGAAGGCGUUCCUCUGGUGCCCUUCCAGUGCAUUCCAAGAACUUCUAGAGUUCUGGACUGCUGGAAUUCUUUUUCUUUUUGGGAUCUUUUGGGUUUGGGCUAAAUUUAGGAUAUGGGUUUAUUAGAAUUGGGUUUUAGGUCAUGGGUUAUUUUGGUAAUUUAUGUAUUUUGAAAAUUGUAAAUGGACUUUUUUAGACUAUUUAGUCUUGGACUUUAUUUCUUUA